UGAUACAGAAGAAACAGAAGA
Molecule: non-coding RNA, 21 nt
Organism: Caenorhabditis elegans
Lineage: Eukaryota; Metazoa; Nematoda; Chromadorea; Rhabditida; Rhabditidae
Source: Ensembl